Molecule: ribosomal RNA, 403 nt
Filed under: Actinomycetes bacterium
Lineage: Bacteria; Bacillati; Actinomycetota; Actinomycetes
Description: Actinobacteria bacterium partial 16S ribosomal RNA
Rfam family: Bacterial small subunit ribosomal RNA
Source: RNAcentral
UGGGGAAUAUUGCACAAUGGGGGAAACCCUGAUGCAGCGACGCCGCGUGAACGAAGAAGGUAUUCGUAUCGUAAAGUUCUGUCCUAUGGGAAGAUAAUGACAGUACCAUAGAAGAAAGCUCCGGCUAAAUACGUGCCAGCAGCCGCGGUAAUACGUAUGGAGCGAGCGUUGUCCGGAAUUAUUGGGCGUAAAGGGUACGCAGGCGGUUUAAUAAGUCGAAUGUUAAAGAUCGGGGCUCAACCCCGUAAAGCAUUGGAAACUGAUAAACUUGAGUAGUGGAGAGGAAAGUGGAAUUCCUAGUGUAGUGGUGAAAUACGUAGAUAUUAGGAGGAAUACCAGUAGCGAAGGCGACUUUCUGGUCUGUAACUGACGCUGAUGUGCGAAAGCGUGGGGAUCAAACAGG